GCAAUAAUGAGCCUUCCCCCAGCACUUGAUAGCUUCACUUGCUUGACAUGUGGUAUUGGAACAAUAAACUCUCCAACAUCUGUAUCUCCAAUUGACCUAGAAAGACAUNNNNNGCGCAAGGGACCAACCUCAUUGCCCCCAAAAACAUUUAGCCUUCCUACUUCACCCCCACUUGCAGUUACACGCUCCCUCUCUUCUGCAUUCUCUUCUAACCUGUGAUCAACUGUCAAGAGGGAAACUACACCCCCCUGGGUAUCCAAGAUGCAUCGUGAAUCCCCCACGCAACAGUAACAGUCCACCCAUCUAUCACAACAAAUGUCACAGUUGUCCCAGAAGUUUCCCUUUUCUGCUGAAAUUCUAUGUCAGUUUUCACAAAACUGGCUACUAGAGCUCGAGGAAGGGCUUGAAGCCACUCUUCCCGACUGAUU
This 428-nucleotide unclassified non-coding RNA is filed under the name Hevea brasiliensis (rubber tree). Lineage: Eukaryota; Viridiplantae; Streptophyta; Magnoliopsida; Malpighiales; Euphorbiaceae. The record is from RNAcentral.